RNAcentral lists this unclassified non-coding RNA (291 nucleotides) under uncultured fungus. Its description in RNAcentral is "partial contains 5.8S ribosomal RNA, internal transcribed spacer 2, and large subunit ribosomal RNA". The stretch from base 1 to 52 matches the Rfam family "5.8S ribosomal RNA", at positions 103 to 154 of the family's 154-position model. The record is from RNAcentral. Lineage: Eukaryota; Fungi.
AACGCACCUUGCGCUCCUUGGUAUUCCGAGGAGCAUGCCUGUUUGAGUGUCAUGAAAUUCUCAACCUCUCUGUCUUUUUCAAAGAUGGUGAGGCUUGGAUUGUGGGGGUUGCAGGCUUCUUUCUAGUCAGCUCUCCUUAAAUGCAUUAGCCAGAUUGUUGCUGGAUCAUCAUUGAUAUGAUAAUUAUCUAUAUCAUUGAAGGCUAGCUUGUAUUUCGGCUUCCAACCGUCCUUUCAAGGGACUCUUGACAUCUUUGGCCUCAAAUCAGGUAGGACUACCCGCUGAACUUAA